Long non-coding RNA from Uranotaenia lowii, 596 nucleotides. RefSeq lists it as uncharacterized. The record is from RefSeq and is a predicted model, not a curated record. Lineage: Eukaryota; Metazoa; Arthropoda; Insecta; Diptera; Culicidae. The transcript has 3 exons.
CUGGAAUGGUAUCCGUCUAGAGAGAUUCCCCGUCGAUUCAAGAUUCAAAGAUGUUAAGGCUGCCGCACGCACAGGCAAGCGACCAACAAUCGGCAUUAUGCGUCACUGGCAAAGAGCUGGUGCUUCGCUGACUACCCAUCACCUACGCCGUCACCGAAGUCGAACAGGAAAUCAGAUUGAAGUGCCUGGAAGUCACGCUACAGAUCUUUAAGAAACCCCAAAUCGGAGGCAAUAUUGGUCUUAAUUAGGAACCAAUAGCUUCCGGUACAACCUGUCCGAGAUACUCACAAUGGUGACGAUUUAAAAGUUGCUGCCACAUCUGAAACGGGACGGGACACAGCAUUGCUGAAGGGCAUCACCUCCAUCGAGUACCAAGCAGAUUCUUCCUCGACCAACUGCAAAUAACUUGAGGCGCUCAGCGUUGAACUGACCGACUAAUUGGUGGCUGCCCGAACUUCGAACCAAAGGCUUGUAUCUUUGAGUACAACUUGCCUUGAAAUACUCGGGCUAUGGAUUGUUCAUCGUUGCAGGUGACUCUGAAAAAGUCGGCGGUCGAAACCGAUGUCAAAUUAAAAGUAUUCAAUGGGCUAAAUCAC